This 250-nucleotide ribosomal RNA is filed under the name uncultured bacterium. RNAcentral's name for it is "partial 16S ribosomal RNA". It matches the Rfam family "Bacterial small subunit ribosomal RNA", at positions 524 to 773 of the family's 1533-position model. The record is from RNAcentral.
UACGGAGGGUGCAAGCAUUGAUCGGAAUUACUGGGCGUAAAGGGCGCGUAGGCGGUCUGAAAAGUCAGAUGUGAAAUUUCGGGGCUCAACCCCGAAACUGCAUUUGAAACUUUCAGGCUAGAGGGUAGUUAGGGAAAACGGAAUUCCACGUGUAGCGGUGAAAUGCGUAGAUAUGUGGAAGAACACCGGUGGUGAAGACGGUUUUCUGGGCUAUGCCUGACGCUGAGGCGCGAAAGCUAGGGGAGCAAAC